UACGUAGGUGGCUAGCGUUGUCCGGAUUUACUGGGCGUAAAGAGCGCGCAGGCGGUCGUUCAAGUCGAGUGUGAAAGCCCCCGGCUCAACUGGGGAGGGUCACUCGAUACUGAUCGACUCGAAGGCAGGAGAGGGAAGCGGAAUUCCCGGUGUAGUGGUGAAAUGCGUAGAUAUCGGGAGGAACACCAGUGGCGAAGGCGGCUUUCUGGCCUGUUCUUGACGCUGAGGCGCGAAAGCUAGGGUAGCAAAACAGG
Molecule: ribosomal RNA, 254 nt
Filed under: uncultured bacterium
Lineage: Bacteria
Description: partial 16S ribosomal RNA
Rfam family: Bacterial small subunit ribosomal RNA
Source: RNAcentral